This 474-nucleotide ribosomal RNA is filed under the name uncultured bacterium. Its description in RNAcentral is "bacterial SSU rRNA". It matches the Rfam family "Bacterial small subunit ribosomal RNA", at positions 40 to 507 of the family's 1533-position model. The record is from RNAcentral.
CGGCAUGCCUUACACAUGCAAGUCGAACGGCAGCACGGGAGCAAUCCUGGUGGCGAGUGGCGAACGGGUGAGUAAUAUAUCGGAACGUGCCCAGUCGUGGGGGAUAACGCAGCGAAAGCUGUGCUAAUACCGCAUACGAUCUCUGGAUGAAAGCGGGGGACUCGCAAGGGCCUCGCGCGAUUGGAGCGGCCGAUAUCAGAUUAGGUAGUUGGUGAGGUAAAGGCUCACCAAGCCGACGAUCUGUAGCUGGUCUGAGAGGACGACCAGCCACACUGGAACUGAGACACGGUCCAGACUCCUACGGGAGGCAGCAGUGGGGAAUUUUGGAUAAUGGGCGCAAGCCUGAUCCAGCAAUGCCGCGUGCAGGAUGAAGGCCUUCGGGUUGUAAACUGCUUUUGUACGGAACGAAACGGUCUGCUUUAAUACAGUGGGCUAAUGACGGUACCGUAAGAAUAAGCACCGGCUAACUACGUG